CUUCUCUCUUCCGGACUUAAAUGGGUCAGCGACGCAUAGAUAAUGAGACGUUUCUUGGACUGUCAGGUUUUCUUGGUUCGGCUGUCCUGAAAUUCCUUAUCCGGACGAAAAGCGAUGACUCCCGAGGUGUCCGGAUAAUCGAGACAUGACAUUUAAAAACCAACAAGUUUCUGCGGGCCAGGUGGCGGGACCGAGCAGCAACUUCAGCGCCCCAAAAUAUGCACACGGUAUAUAGUUUAGCACACGACGGCGGCAGUUUCAAAUACAUGGUCUCCAGUUG
Long non-coding RNA from Ornithodoros turicata, 280 nucleotides. RefSeq lists it as uncharacterized. NCBI's taxonomy places the organism in Eukaryota, Metazoa, Arthropoda, Arachnida, Ixodida, Argasidae. The record is from RefSeq and is a predicted model, not a curated record. The transcript is spliced from 3 exons.